GUUCUGCUGUUGCUUGGAGACUGAAUGAUUUAACCCACAUGUGUCACACUCAUUCCACGUAGGGCCGACUUUUAAAUCCUCCUUUGGACUUGAUUGCUGAAUUGAGGUCACUGAUUACAUCACCAGAAGCAAGCAUUUAGAAAGCUCUGCAUGACUGCAUAGUAGAUAGGUCUUUCAGACAGCACCAUGUGACACUUGAAUUAGAAAAUUGGGAGUCCCACGAUGUGACCGGUUCGGUUAUGAGCUGGCUGAAGUCAUUCAGGGAACACAUCCAUAAUCCUGACCUUACUGUUGUUAUUUUAAGAUUUUGUUGUACUAUCAUUUAUUUGACUAUCCCUAGGACAACUAUUAGAGCUGCUAACACUGGGAGAAUAUCUAGAGGUGGGUGUACUGCGUUACUACUACCAGUUAGGUUGAUGUUUGGGGUGAUUGGGGUUGAUGACAAAUAAUCUUGUCAGCGGCGUCGUCAUGUGUGGCGGAUGGGAGGCAGUUUGUGCUGAGAGGCCCCGUUAGUAAUUAAUCACUGUGUUCCAGUAAUACAUUCCUUCGAUCGGAGCGUCAGGGAAUAAUUUCUCUGGACAGUGGCCCAUGAAAGGUCAUCCACACCGCCCGCCACUGGCCGGUCAUUGGUCAUUCCGGGAUGGCACCAGGCACAAAGCUCAUCCAGUCAAUGCAACUUAAUGAUUUAUGCACAUAUGAAAUGAGUCCCGGAAACAUCACGGCCAAGUUGGGAUUGAAUUAUUGUGUUGCUGGAGUUUCUAGUCACUGCUACAGUAUGAGUGAAAUGCUGUCUACUGGAGCAGUACAGGUUCUCUGGAAUAUGGUACAACUUCUGCCAGGGCUUCAGGCAGUGGACAGUGUGACUGGAAUUAUAGAGUGCAAGAGAUUUGGUGAAAUAUAAAUCAUUAUAAUAAUAGUAAAAAAUAUAUAUCUUAUUGAUCAUCUGAUUUACCAUCUCAAUAAAAUGAUGUGAUCAUGGCGAUCCACCAUCCA
Oncorhynchus keta (chum salmon) is the source of this 993-nucleotide long non-coding RNA. RefSeq lists it as uncharacterized. The transcript is spliced from 3 exons. NCBI's taxonomy places the organism in Eukaryota, Metazoa, Chordata, Actinopteri, Salmoniformes, Salmonidae. The record is from RefSeq and is a predicted model, not a curated record.